This is a long non-coding RNA of Sesamum indicum (sesame), 3999 nucleotides long. RefSeq lists it as uncharacterized. The record is from RefSeq and is a predicted model, not a curated record. Lineage: Eukaryota; Viridiplantae; Streptophyta; Magnoliopsida; Lamiales; Pedaliaceae.
GAAAAAAAUAAAUUCAGGAGUAUGGAAAUUCAAACAAGAAAUGAAGAAUCCUCUCAUCCCCAUUGACGCAGUGCUUCUUGGCAUCAUUUCUUGAUCAGGGUUUUCUUUUUUCUUCACUUCUACGUAGUAUGUCAAGGUAUUUCUUCUUUCUUCAAGAACUGUGGUUUCUGUGUGAAUAUUGUGCUGGAGAGUGUAAUGUAUCUUAUGUUUAUCUGUUUGGUUCGCGGUUUGUAGAGUCUUUAUCGUAUUCUUGGGGCAAUGAAUGUUUGAUUUUUGAAGAUUCCAUUGAUGUAGUACACCAUGAGUGUCUGAGGAUUAAUGGGGUGUGCUUCUAUAAUUGUGUUUUUACAGGUUGCUAAGAAUUUUUUUUUUCUUAUAAAUUGUUUAUACCUGCAAAAUAUAGGAAAAUGGAAGAAAGAGAGGAUUCAUGCUCUUUUAUGAAAAUUCUAUGUUUAUAUUUUGUAGACUCCAUGUGUUUCUUGACCCUUCGUUUAGCUUGCUUGUUUUAGAUAUUUUUUGUAUAGAGGGAAAACUUAGUCAAUUGGUAGAGAUAUAUGUACUCGAUGCACCACUAAAGACCCAUGUUCUUGUGUUUGUUUUUAUGUAUUCUCUAAGUUUCUAUGAUGUGGUUAGUUUUAAUAGGAAGCAAUGAUUUUGGUGUUUCUAACCUUUUCCGACACUCUUUAUGUUACGUUCUGUUGCUAGUGAUGUGUGUCUGUGGUCUUCUUUGAAUAAUUGAGCUAGCAGAUGUAAAAUUAUAAAGGGGAUAAUGGUUGUAGUUAUGUGGACUUAAUUUUGAUCAUUGUGCUUGUUUUCAUGUCAUAUUAGCUGUUUCUGCCUUGCACAUUCAUUUGAAUUAAGUAUCAUGACUAUGUAUGGAAUUUCUUGUUUCGUUCCCUGGUUUGAACUCUCUUGUUUUUGUCUUCACCAUUUAUGUACUCUUUAAAUGUAUGUAUAGUUUCCUUAUCAGUAUUGGUUUACUGUGUAAUAAUGCGUCUAUGGUUGAUGUUAUACAUCUUCACGUACGUAUGCUACUGCAUCAAAUAGAAGAGUUUCUCUUCUCAGACUUGCAGCAGCUGGAUUAAUAAGAUUCCUCUCGGGAUUUACCUUUUACCUUUACUCUUUGUUGAGAUGCUAUUUAAUUGGAAAGGUAGCAUGAGCACUUGAAUAUAGUUCCACACAUUCAUGUCGAGAGAUGAAAAUGAAGUGCAUCGAAACAGAUCUUGCUCCCUGGUAUACCUUUUGGUACGUGUGAUAUGGAUUUCCAUGUCAACUAUUGAUCCCAUGCAUGGGUUUUUCCCAGUUUGUGAGUCUUCUCCAAUUGAGCCCUUUUAUUUUUUUUACCACUUUUUUAUGACUCAAUGGCUAGAAAUUGAUGCAAGAUAGUUUUCAGUUGUCUCCUUUUCGACUGUUAAUUUAUUCUAAAGUUGAUGAAACCAUUUUGAGAUCACAUAAGUGGUACUUUCAACACCAUACAUCCAACAGAAAGCAUGGAUAAUAUAAUACAGUGGUAUGGUUGUUCUGUUUAACUAAAAAUUAUUGAUCAUUGAUAUAGGCCUAAACCCUACUGGGGAAACUAGAAUUAUUGAAUAAUAAAAUACUUUUCUUUCUGGGGAAUAAAAUAUGAAUAUAUGGACUAUAUCGAUCUUUUAAAUGAGAUCCACCAACAUCCACAUUUGGCAUCUAAUAUGGACAGAGUUGACAUUUAAAGAAAUAGAUUACUUUUUCCUUAUGUAAUACAAAUGAUUCAUGGUCUUGUUCCAUAAAUGUUGUUGGUGGUUGUUGAUGCUACACCUGUUAAGGAAAUGAGUACUGAAGUGUCAAUUUCUUUUUGUUAUAGCUGCAUAAUAAACAUGAUAAAAAUGAUUAUAUAAUUUACGGAUCAAGAGAAUUGGAGUAUGGUUAAAUUUGUUCUAAUAUGAGACACAACGAUAACAAAAGCACCAAUAUUAUAAGCCUCGUAUGGCUGAAAGAUUUUGAAUUCUUAAUAAGCUUUGUCAGUUCUUGUAUAUAUCUUUUCCCUCACUUGUAAACUUAAUUUUCUGUUGCUUGUAUUUUGUGCAAAAGAAUAAAAUAUUAAAAGGUAUCAUUUUAAUUGGGUGCUUUUUCUUUUUCAAUUUUUUUGUUAAUUUUCGGAAUAGCGUGGAAGUAUUUUUUGGAUUUUUAAUUUUCAAUUUUUUUGGUGCACGCAAGUAAUAUGAUACCCUUAAUGCCCCCACUUGGGUUACAGGCUCACGCUACUGAGCCCGGCGAACUGUAGUGACAACUAACGUAUCUUAUAAAGUCAUUCACCCUAUUUUGUGUUAUCAAUGUGGGAGAAAGGACAGGGUUUUGCCUUUUCUUCCAAACUUCCUGUUGAUUGCCUUAAGUGAUCAUAUUUUUUAAGGCAUAAUUUCCCAAUUGGUAAAGUCGUAUCGUUGCUAACGAUUUUUCAAAUGAUAAACACUGGAAAAUUGGAGAUCUACGAUGAAUUGGAAGAAAUCAAUUGAAGGAAAAAUGCUAUACCCGAAGGAAUGUGGUGACAAACUUGUAAAAGGCGAAAGCUUAGCGGUAUCGUGUAGUAGUUGGUAGAACAUGAAGAGAACCAAUAUAACAUUCAUCAUGAAGUUUCGCUGUUAUCAUGUUUGUUGAUGGCUAUCAGAUUUGACUUUUUAGUAACUGUUCUUGAGAUAAAUUACUCGUAGGACUAUGGUUUGAUGUUAAAACUACUGACUUCUAUAAAAUUUCUUUAUAUGUUUGCAUAAGUAACUGCAGAAUAUUGAAAGAAUUAAGGGGAAAUCAACUGAAAAGAGGCACGGACUGUAUAGGAAGACUUUGGCGAGUAAUUCACUGUAAAGAGUGUAUAUAACCAAUGUACUGGAAGUUCUUCUAUAGUGAUCAUUGAAAGCAGAGGAGAGCUGUACCCUCUAUAUUAAAUCAGUGACUGCUCCAAAAUAACAUGGAACCGCAUAAAGAAGGUGGUUCUUAGUAAUAUCAGCAGGCUUACUUCUAUGGGAUGGCGGUGUAUCUCAAAUGUAACAUGCUCUGAUGAUUGACUUUAAACAUGGACUAGAGACUUCGUAUGUGAGUUAGGAUUGCUUUCUCUCAACACGGAUACAGUGGUUGAUGGACCGGAAUAUUGAACUUCAGUGUUCUCAAUAAUCAGGGUUGUUCUCUCUCUUGCCAAAUCUUAAGGCCACAUGAACUUUACUUUAAGUAAACUGCCAGCGAUCUUCACCUUAUAUUUCUGCUAAUGAAAGCAUAGGAAGUUCUCGCCUUCUUAUCUCUAUUCUAUUUUUGGCUCUAUUGUAAACAGUAGUAAUUCAUUACAACUUAUUUCCGUUCUAUAACUAUCGCUCCGUUAAGAAAUGCAGCUUCCGAGAACCAGUACUGAAGGACUACCGUAAUUGCUAGAGUUAAUGUUCUUGAAUCCACUGGCCAGUUCGGGAGAGAUUCUUGCUUUGCUACCAAGCAUGUGAACAGAAGAAUCAAGGACAAUGACGUAGGAGAAACUGUUGGAAAUUCUUGAACCACUAUUUUGCUAAGGAACCUGGGUAUGGAUCGUCGGAAAUGUGAUGAGGUAAAGAGCCAAAACGCAUGAAGCAAAAACCAAGAGCUCCCCAAGGCGUUUGUUGAAAGAGAGGGGUGAUGCAGCACCAGUGUAUACCAUGCCACCUGGGUUGGUAACUGGUGGAGAGUUGAUGCCUGGGGCUGAUGAAUUCCUUCCCGAAGGAGUUGAUGGAGUCGUGUUGUUGCCAGACGCGGUGACCUUGAUUUCAACCUUUUGCUUGUUAUACAGACACCUGUUGGGGAAGCUGCAGAUGUAGUAGAAGCUGCCAGGAAUGGUAUACUCAAGCUCAUCGUCCCCACUGUUGAAAAUCUCAACUGGAUCAUCUGAGUUGCAUUUUUCGUAAUUUUCUUGGGUCACUCGAAUCACAUCGUUGCUUUCAUUGUCAUAGGUGAAUACUGCAUUAUGUAUAAAAAGAGUUUUAAGUUCUUGAGCAGUCAUGCUGGAAUUGU